RNAcentral lists this ribosomal RNA (257 nucleotides) under uncultured soil bacterium. RNAcentral describes it as "partial 16S ribosomal RNA". It matches the Rfam family "Bacterial small subunit ribosomal RNA", at positions 26 to 285 of the family's 1533-position model. The record is from RNAcentral.
AGGACGAACGCUGGCGGCGUGCUUAACACAUGCAAGUCGAGCGGAAAGGCCACUUCGGUGGUACUCGAGCGGCGAACGGGUGAGUAACACGUGAGUAAUCUGCCCUUCACUCUGGGAUAGCCCUCCGAAAGGGGGAUUAAUACCGGAUACGACCACAGACCGCAUGGUGUUGUGGUGGAAACUUUUUGGGUGGGGGAUGUGCUCGCGGCCUAUCAGCUUGUUGGUGGGGUAAUGGCCUACCAAGGCUUCGACGGGUA